This is a long non-coding RNA of Sinocyclocheilus rhinocerous, 171 nucleotides long. RefSeq lists it as uncharacterized. The transcript is spliced from 3 exons. Lineage: Eukaryota; Metazoa; Chordata; Actinopteri; Cypriniformes; Cyprinidae. The record is from RefSeq and is a predicted model, not a curated record.
UGUGUCAAAGUUUUAAACUUUCAAAGUACUUAUGAUGAAUAAUCGGCUGUCGUCUCAGAAGACAGCUUUACUGUCAGCCCUAGCGAGAAAAAUGUUUCAUUUCUUGCCACGUUGACUGUUAGGGGAAAAUAUCCCACCAUUAAGCUUUCCUCUGUCUGAAAGAGCCAUUUA